RNAcentral lists this ribosomal RNA (680 nucleotides) under uncultured eukaryote. RNAcentral describes it as "SSU rRNA". It matches the Rfam family "Eukaryotic small subunit ribosomal RNA", at positions 996 to 1699 of the family's 1831-position model. The record is from RNAcentral.
GUUCGAAGGCGAUUAGAUACCGCCCUAGUUCUAACCAUAAACGAUGCCAGCUAGCGAUCUGAGGACGUUUUUUUUGUAGACUCCUCAGGAAGCUUCCGGGAAACCAAAGCGUGUGGGUUCCGGGGGAAGUAUGGUUGCAAAGCUGAAACUUAAAGGAAUUGACGGAAGGGCACCACCAGGAGUGGAGCCUGCGGCUUAAUUUGACUCAACACGGGAAAUCUCACCAGGCCCGGACACUGGAAGGAUUGACAGAUUGAGAGCUCUUUCUCGAUUCGGUGGGUGGUGGUGCAUGGCCGUUCUUAGUUGGUGGAGUGAUUUGUCUGGUUAAUUCCGAUAACGAACGAGACUCUGUCCUGCUAAAUAGUGUCAGCCUCUCUUUUGGGCUGACAAUUCUUCUUAGAGGGACUGGCGGCUCCUAGCCGCACGAGAUAGAGCAAUAACAGGUCUGUGAUGCCCUUAGAUGUUCUGGGCCGCACGCGCGCUACACUGAAUAGAUCAGCGUGUUCUCCCUUUCUGAGAAGAACGGGUAAACCGCUGAACCCUAUUCGUGGUAGGGAUCGGGGCUUGCAAUUAUUCCCCGUGAACCAGGAAUUCCCAGUAGGCGCGAGUCAUAAGCUCGCGUCGAUUACGUCCCUGCCCUUUGUACACACCCCCCGUCGCUAAUACCGAUUGAAUGGGUA